AAUGGGGGCAACCCUGAUCUAGCCAUGCCGCGUGAGUGAUGAAGGCCUUAGGGUCGUAAAGCUCUUUCGCCUGUGAUGAUAAUGACAGUAGCAGGUAAAGAAACCCCGGCUAACUCCGUGCCAGCAGCCGCGGUAAUACGGAGGGGGUUAGCGUUGUUCGGAAUUACUGGGCGUAAAGCGCGCGUAGGCGGAUUAGAAAGUUGGGGGUGAAAUCCCGGGGCUCAACCCCGGAACUGCCUCCAAAACUGCUAGUCUAGAGUUCGAGAGAGGUGAGUGGAAUUCCGAGUGUAGAGGUGAAAUUCGUAGAUAUUCGGAGGAACACCAGUGGCGAAGGCGGCUCACUGGCUCGAUACUGACGCUGAGGUGCGAAAGUGUGGGGGGCAAACAGGAUU
RNAcentral lists this ribosomal RNA (392 nucleotides) under uncultured Gammaproteobacteria bacterium. RNAcentral's name for it is "bacterial SSU rRNA". It matches the Rfam family "Bacterial small subunit ribosomal RNA", at positions 370 to 779 of the family's 1533-position model. The record is from RNAcentral. Lineage: Bacteria; Pseudomonadati; Pseudomonadota; Gammaproteobacteria.